This 443-nucleotide ribosomal RNA is filed under the name uncultured soil bacterium. Its description in RNAcentral is "bacterial SSU rRNA". It matches the Rfam family "Bacterial small subunit ribosomal RNA", at positions 26 to 474 of the family's 1533-position model. The record is from RNAcentral.
AGAUUGAACGCUGGCGGCAUGCCUUACACAUGCAAGUCGAACGGCAGCACGGGAGCAAUCCUGGUGGCGAGUGGCGAACGGGUGAGUAAUACAUCGGAACGUGCCCAAUCGUGGGGGAUAACGCAGCGAAAGCUGUGCUAAUACCGCAUAAGAUCUACGGAUGAAAGCAGGGGAUCGCAAGACCUUGCGCGAAUGGAGCGGCCGAUGGCAGAUUAGGUAGUUGGUGAGGUAAAGGCUCACCAAGCCUUCGAUCUGUAGCUGGUCUGAGAGGACGACCAGCCACACUGGGACUGAGACACGGCCCAGACUCCUACGGGAGGCAGCAGUGGGGAAUUUUGGACAAUGGGCGAAAGCCUGAUCCAGCCAUGCCGCGUGCAGGAUGAAGGCCUUCGGUUGUAACUGUCUUUGUACGGUAACGAAGUCUCGUUUACUAAGUAAAGAGG